ACCUACGGGGGGCAGCAGUAGGGAAUCUUCCACAAUGGGCGAAAGCCUGAUGGAGCAACGCCGCGCGGGUGAAGAAGGUCUUCGGAUCGUAAAACCCUGUUGUUAGAGAAGAAAGUGCGUGAGAGUAACUGUUCACGUUUCGACGGUAUCUAACCAGAAAGCCACGGCUAACUACGUGCCAGCAGCCGCGGUAAUACGUAGGUGGCAAGCGUUAUCCGGAUUUAUUGGGCGUAAAGGGAACGCAGGCGGUCUUUUAAGUCUGAUGUGAAAGCCUUCGGCUUAACCGGUGUAGUGCAUUGGAAACU
This 305-nucleotide ribosomal RNA is filed under the name uncultured bacterium. RNAcentral describes it as "bacterial SSU rRNA". It matches the Rfam family "Bacterial small subunit ribosomal RNA", at positions 337 to 634 of the family's 1533-position model. The record is from RNAcentral.